AAAGGCGAUUCGAUUACACAGAUUAGCUCGCGCGUACAGAACCGAUCGUUGCAUAAAUCAAAGACGUAUGGGCAGAUAUUCUUCUUAAUUAAUCGUGUAUAACGAUCGGCAAACGAGCUGCAGCGCAAUUUAUUUCGGUAUGCCUGAGUGCAAAGUCUGUCUGGUCGUCGAAUCAAGAAGGAUGACGACUGAAAUUCGACGAGAUAAAGGUUCGAUUUUAACGGAACAGGGAACAAGAUCUACAAAAUAGUUGUCAAUAGCAUUGUCAUGGUCGAUCUACUAUUGUUCUCGAAGGAAAAAGAGAAAUUACCGUAAGCCAUGAUAACUUCUUAUUGUGGUAGGAUUACGGCAAAGGCUAUUUAUUCAAAUUACAAAAGACCAUCCCAUAAAUUCUUCAGAACCGUCAUAAAUUUUCCAAACAUGGUCAAACAGGCCACAAAGAGAAUUCCGAUUUUCUGCCAGAACAUACCCAAUUGUUCAUUCGUCAAGAGAAUUCCUAACCAGCCGUUUGGUUCAUGAAACUCCUUUGCAUUUUAAUAUUGUCGUGUAGACGGAAGCGAUAUUUUAUUCAAAUUCUUUGCAACUGUUACGUAAUUGUCAUUUUGCUUGUCCUUCGCGGCAAUUAAAUUGCUGUCGAGUUUUACCUUAAGAAACGUUUCUAUCGUAUAGAAACUUCAACAACUUCUUUCGACGAUUCAAGGAACGCCUUGAAUUCGAUCGUUACGAAAAUAAUUUAUGUUAAUCGUGAUCAACGUCGAUUUGACUCGAUCCCUCGGAAGUAUCGUUGCAGGUAUUACUUAAUCAUCGGCUCGUGCAAAGGCAUCGAGCAGACGCGUUAAAAAUGCUAAUCGGUAGUCGCCAUCUGCAACGCCGUUUCUUUUAUUUUCAUAAUAUAUUUGGUGUUAUCUCUGUUAGUGAACGUUUACUAUUAUCGGAUGUUAAAAUUGUUUCAAGAAUAAAGUAAUAAUUGAGUAAUUUAUUUAUAGAGUUUGGAAACACGGUAGAUGGAUCGUUGAAGCAACUCGACGAAUUCGACGAAGAAUUUCAAAUGGCCGUUCGAAUAAUAUUCGAAUCCGUAGAAUUUCGAUCGAUUGCUAUGCUAUCAGACUUAGCUUAAUAACUUCGAUACUUACGUAAUCACCGAACCUUAUCAGUAAUUGCUAGAAUUUUCAACCAAAACGCAUUAUGGUAAUUAUUAUCUGAAUCAUUGCGUGUCAAAAUUUCUCUUUAUCUUCCCUCGCUCUUAUCUAUGUUACAUCGCAAAGUACAGCGUUUCUCAAUUAACGAAACAGCAACGAACAAUGUCCUAAAUACUAAAAAUAUUACUUAAUGUAACGUGUUGCGUCAGAUGAUUCACUUUUUACUAUCAUUAUCUCAUAUUAUUAGAAAUUCCCAAAUAAUGUCAGUUUUGUAUUUUACCUGUGCAAUGUUUUUAAUCGAAUCAAUGCAACAAAAUUUCAACGAUUCCCUCUUCCAUUGCACAAUUCUACGAUGACGUAAAGAUGACGUACUUUUCGCUAUUUUUUCGAUGAAUCGUCCGUUCAAGUCUACGAUUAUUGAUAUGAUAACGAUAUAUCUUCAUGGAUGUAUAGAAGGUAGAGACAAUGUUUGACCAUGAGAAGGUAACAAGACAUCCGUCAUCAUCGUGGCGACUUAAAUUGCUAAAAAAAAAUUUAUACGGGCGUGCUGCCAAUGUCAAAAGCGAGGUCGGCAGUCGAUACGCCGUGCCGUAGCAGCUCUUUGUCAGCUUCGAUCUAAUUAAUCCUCGUUAAGUCAUCGUCAAUUGUUUACGUAAAUGAAGUAUUCAACUGGCAGACGCAAACUUUUGCUCACGAAUCGCACGCGUGUGUACCUUGUUUCAGCUGCGAUUAUUGCACAUGCACGUUACGAUCGUACAAAGGUAUUAACACCUGUCUGCUUUAUUGUCAUUUGUUUGUAAGUAUAAUUUAGCCGAAGACAGACGUAACGCGAUGCACGAGAAUCGAAGUGAAAAGAACAGGUGACACGUAGGUGAAAUCGAGGACGGUCUCACGAAAAGUUUCGUCUAUGAGAACACGUGAAUACACUUUGUUUUACGUUCAAUACGAAGUUAAAAAAUAUUUGCACGCGUAAGUUAAAUGAAAUGCAAACAGAAACGCACGAUGAACGAGCUAAAAGAAUAAUAAAAUAGGAAGUCAGCAGGAGUUGAGGAUAGAGUGGCGUGAAAUGUUUCUGGCCAGACAAAUUUCUCACUUUGUAUUUCAAAACCGAUAUGCAGACUGCGCACCUUUGUGCAACUUCACCUUUUCGCGAUAUGAAGCGAACGAUCUACCUGGCUGGAAAUUUUUGCACAUCACUGGAGGUCCUUGAAUUGAUUCGAAUAUGAAAGGGAAACACAGUCACAGUCUAAAUAAAUGGAGGAUAAAUAGAUCGAGAUAAAUAGCGAAGAAAUCGACAAAGGUUAAAAUAGGAAAUGACAACGUGAUUUACUUUCCGGAAGUGGAAGUUCAAGGCAGAGCGACUUACCUUGCUGCUGGCAAGGUGUACCCACUCCAUUACGAUAUCUUUAAUAAUCUAUUUGAUUUCUCUAAUGUACACGUAACAGGAACGAACGAGAAGCCUGGUAUCCUAAAAUGGCUUUAUUAACUCUUAACUUUACACGUGUUUAAUAUGCAGUACUUGUCAGAGAUAUCUGUAUACGCGUGUAUCUGUGUGUCUGUGUCUGUAUUAUUCCACGCUUCUUUCGUUAGUCGUCGACCACACCACCCGAUAGGAUGAUCGUUAACGAGAUACGAUGCCUUCUCGAUCGUGCAGAUCGAAGGAAGGACGAUAUUUCAUUACCUGGCCCGAUUCCUUCCAUCCGGGGUUCCGUCGAGGCGCCAUAGCGGACAAAAAUAAUUUGCGAAUUCCCAGUCGACGAGUAUUACUUUUAUGUAUAUAUCAUUAUGUGUACAAGACAUUCCUCAUACGCGACGUGAUAAUCGUUUCUCCUCCUUCGUCUCUCCCCUCGAAGCGGAACUAUUUCGGUGGUCCGCGUCCUUCUGGACUCCACCGAUUUCUACGAUUUUUCCUUCGUAUUUCUUCCCUAAUUCUUUCGUCGUUUCAUUCUUGUUUCCCUAGCUUUUCUUCUCUUCUAUACAAAAUACUUUCGAACCGCACACACACACACACUCUCUCUCUCUCUCUUCCUCUCUUCGUUUCGCAGGCCAAAAAAAAAAGAAAGUAAGCUCCGUCCAAAAGCUUGUUCUUAAACACGACGAUCGGCUGUAUGUUCGCCAAUUCCGACCUCUUCUUUACAAUUUUUCCACUUCUGACACCGUAUCUUAUAAAUAUCGUACACGUUUAUUAUACAUAAUCGUCGUUUCCGUCACAAUAACACAAUUGCAGCGCAUGAGAGUUACGCGUAUAGCGAUGAUAUGAUUAGAAGCAUGAUAUGAGUUCUGCUCUUGUCUAUCGCAGGUCACAGACCGGAGAUUCGAAAGUAGUCUUUGAGUAGCGUGUACACAUACUGCGAUCGGUCACGCACGAUCGAUAUGGCCCCAUCCACGAUCCGAGCUUCUUUUAUUCUUAUUAUAUAUAUAUUUUUUUUCUCUCGUAAAAAAAGCUUUCUGUGUCUCUUUUCUUCUUUUUUUUAUUUUUUUUUUUUUUUUUUUGUUUAAGGUAGCUCGAGCGUGGACGCGACGAGACGAUUCGUGACGCAUCAAUUUCCUUGAACAGCGGAUACGCUAAAACGUGAUACAAAAAUAGAAAAUACUCCCGAGGUUUUCUAAUUCGUGCGAUUAUCGCGACGAAUCGUACAUGUUGUUCGUUUCAUUGGAACGCAAUCGUUUUGCACUGUGGAAUAGAAUGAUCUGCCUGAUUUUUAUUCUGCGAUAAACAAGGCGCGGUGAAGAAGGAUUGAAAAGAGAUAGUCGCGUGUUAAUAUACUUAAAUCUUCUACAUUAUAAAGACGUGAAUUAAUAUAUAUUAUAUCGUAAUUUAGCUUGCAUACCAAACAUCCGUUUUUUUUUUUUUUAAUCAUUCUACAUACACAAAUAUCAUCAUUAUCAUCAUCAUCAUUAUUAUCAUCAUCAUCAUUCACACUAAGUUUUAAUAGGAGUGACCCCAAAUUUGUAGAUUCGUCAACUACCUGUUCCUGUUGCGAAGAAGUGGAUGAACAGAGCCUCCAAAUUCGAGGUACGCAAAAGAUAUCGCUUUUCUUUUUACUUUUGUUUUGUUAUUUCUCUUCCUGUUUCCCCUUCCCUUGUCCUUCGUUCUUUUCUUUCGAAUUUCUCGCAUUAUUUCCUUCCUCUUUGAAAAAAUAUCAGGAAACUAUCGAGGUAUUGAAGAAACGGCAGCGCGUACAUACCCGUAUCCCAAAAAAAUUGUGGUUCAUUCUCGUUCCUUUUUCCUUUUAUUUAUUCGUUCACGAAAAUCAGUCGAAAAUUUGUUUGCAACAGAGCAGCUGGUUAGAUUGUACAAAAUCAUUCAUAUAAAAAACGUGUGCGCGCCCUGUUCAUAGGGUGUACGGGUGUUUACGCACGUUUGUAUAUGUUAAAAAGUAGGUCUUAUUACUUUAUUCUCCUCUGUGUCCUUUUGUUCCUUCUUAUUUUUAAUUCCAUUUUUUCUUCUCUGCUUUAAGUAGUUAGUACUUCUUUUUGGCUUGGUAACUAUGUAAAUUCUAAAUUAAAUUAAGCCAUCGACGGGUUUAGAAUCGUUAAAACUAGAGCUUCCUUUUUCUUUCAAACGAUAAAAAAAAAAAAAAAAAUAGAAACAAAA
Molecule: long non-coding RNA, 4737 nt
Organism: Bombus huntii
Lineage: Eukaryota; Metazoa; Arthropoda; Insecta; Hymenoptera; Apidae
Exons: 2
Source: RefSeq, a predicted model, not a curated record